Molecule: transfer RNA, 73 nt
Filed under: Bos taurus (domestic cattle)
Lineage: Eukaryota; Metazoa; Chordata; Mammalia; Artiodactyla; Bovidae
Also listed under: 5 other names
Rfam family: tRNA
About the family: Transfer RNA (tRNA) molecules are approximately 80 nucleotides in length. Their secondary structure includes four short double-helical elements and three loops (D, anti-codon, and T loops). Further hydrogen bonds mediate the characteristic L-shaped molecular structure. tRNAs have two regions of fundamental functional importance: the anti-codon, which is responsible for specific mRNA codon recognition, and the 3' end, to which the tRNAs corresponding amino acid is attached (by aminoacyl-tRNA synthetases). tRNAs cope with the degeneracy of the genetic code in two manners: having more than one tRNA (with a specific anti-codon) for a particular amino acid; and 'wobble' base-pairing, i.e. permitting non-standard base-pairing at the 3rd anti-codon position.
Source: Rfam by way of RNAcentral
UUCCCUAUGGUCCAGUGGUUAGGACUCUGUGCUCUCACUACUGAAGGCCUGGGUUUGAUCCCUGGUUGGGGAA